Molecule: non-coding RNA, 52 nt
Filed under: Trypanosoma lewisi
Lineage: Eukaryota; Euglenozoa; Kinetoplastea; Trypanosomatida; Trypanosomatidae
Source: RNAcentral
GUGUAGAAUAAUGGUUUUGGUGGUUGCGUUGUGGUAUAGAUGAUUAGAUGGG